This 253-nucleotide ribosomal RNA is filed under the name uncultured bacterium. Its description in RNAcentral is "partial 16S ribosomal RNA". It matches the Rfam family "Bacterial small subunit ribosomal RNA", at positions 524 to 776 of the family's 1533-position model. The record is from RNAcentral.
UACGAAGGGGGCUAGCGUUGUUCGGAGUUACUGGGCGUAAAGGGCGCGUAGGCGGCGCACCAAGUCAGGCGUGAAAGCCCUGGGCUCAACCCGGGAAUUGCGCUUGAGACUGGUGUGCUAGAGUACGGGAGAGGAUAGUGGAAUUCCCAGUGUAGAGGUGAAAUUCGUAGAUAUUGGGAAGAACACCGGUGGCGAAGGCGGCUAUCUGGACCGUAACUGACGCUGAGGCGCGAAAGCGUGGGGAGCAAACAGG